This 88-nucleotide microRNA precursor is filed under the name Tupaia belangeri (northern tree shrew). Its description in RNAcentral is "miRNA (ENSTBEG00000021272.1)". Lineage: Eukaryota; Metazoa; Chordata; Mammalia; Scandentia; Tupaiidae. The record is from RNAcentral.
UUCUCACCUGGAGUAUUUAUGAAAGGACAGAUUGGUCUCCAUCUGACCAAAAUUCAGCAUUUCUAGCAAGUUCCCAGGUGAUCCUGAU